This 838-nucleotide ribosomal RNA is filed under the name Actinomadura sp. IM-7213. RNAcentral's name for it is "bacterial SSU rRNA". It matches the Rfam family "Bacterial small subunit ribosomal RNA", at positions 38 to 889 of the family's 1533-position model. Lineage: Bacteria; Bacillati; Actinomycetota; Actinomycetes; Streptosporangiales; Thermomonosporaceae. The record is from RNAcentral.
GGCGGCGUGCUUAACACAUGCAAGUCGAGCGGAAAGGCCCUUCGGGGGUACUCGAGCGGCGAACGGGUGAGUAACACGUGAGCAACCUGCCCCUGACUUUGGGAUAAGCCUGGGAAACGGGUCUAAUACCGGAUACGACCGGUCACCGGCAUGGUGUGCCGGUGGAAAGUUUUUUCGGGUUGGGGAUGGGCUCGCGGCCUAUCAGCUUGUUGGUGGGGUGAUGGCCUACCAAGGCGACGACGGGUAACCGGCCUGAGAGGGCGACCGGUCACACUGGGACUGAGACACGGCCCAGACUCCUACGGGAGGCAGCAGUGGGGAAUAUUGCGCAAUGGGCGGAAGCCUGACGCAGCGACGCCGCGUGGGGGAUGACGGCCUUCGGGUUGUAAACCUCUUUCAGCAGGGACGAAGCUAACGUGACGGUACCUGCAGAAGAAGCGCCGGCUAACUACGUGCCAGCAGCCGCGGUAAUACGUAGGGCGCAAGCGUUGUCCGGAAUUAUUGGGCGUAAAGAGCUCGUAGGCGGUUUGUCGCGUCUGUCGUGAAAGCCCACGGCUUAACCGUGGGUCUGCGGUGGAUACGGGCAGACUAGAGGCAGGUAGGGGAGAAUGGAAUUCCCGGUGUAGCGGUGAAAUGCGCAGAUAUCGGGAGGAACACCGGUGGCGAAGGCGGUUCUCUGGGCCUGUACUGACGCUGAGGAGCGAAAGCGUGGGGAGCGAACAGGAUUAGAUACCCUGGUAGUCCACGCCGUAAACGUUGGGCGCUAGGUGUGGGGUCCUUCCACGGAUUCCGCGCCGUAGCUAACGCAUUAAGCGCCCCGCCUGGGGAGUACGGCCGC